CUCGCGCUAUAAGGUUGGCCGAUGGCUGAUUACCUAGUCCGUGGGGUAAAGGCCUACCAAGGCGACGAUCAGUAGCUGGUCUGAGAGGACGACCAGCCACACUGGGAUUGAGACACGGCCCAGACUCCUACGGGAGGCAGCAGUGGGGAAUUUUGGACAAUGGGCGAAAGCCGUGAUCCAGCAAUGCCGCGUGUGUGAAGAAGGCCUUCGGGUUGUAAAGCACUUUUGUCCGGAAGAAAUCCUUGGCUCUAAUACAGUCGGGGGAUGACGGUACCCGGAAGAAUAAGCACCGGCAUCAUCG
RNAcentral lists this ribosomal RNA (301 nucleotides) under Burkholderia multivorans. RNAcentral describes it as "bacterial SSU rRNA". It matches the Rfam family "Bacterial small subunit ribosomal RNA", at positions 212 to 504 of the family's 1533-position model. The record is from RNAcentral. Lineage: Bacteria; Pseudomonadati; Pseudomonadota; Betaproteobacteria; Burkholderiales; Burkholderiaceae.